UCCAGAGAUUAUAAGGGAAAUAAGGAAGGUUACAACAGUAACUAGCGAUUGUUCAGUCAAAGAAAAAUAUUUGUCAGUAAAUGUUCCACCAUUAUUAACACAGCAAUAGGCGUUUUGGUGCAAUCAAUGAAGGUUCCACCUUUAAUAACAGGUAAGUUUAAUCUAGAUAAAUGUUAAUUGCUACUGCAACUAUCAAUUUAGAUAUUGAAGUCGAAGUUUACACGUAAAUGAAAUGGAUAUUUGCUUGUCACCUAUUUAUGUCAGAGCAACCAGUAGGGCAAGUUUAUUCAGCUUGAUCGAUCAGUGUGUUACUGAGAUGCGGCCACAGCUACAUGCUGGUAUAAAACCAGCACAAAUCAGUUUCCAGUUUGCAGCCACGGCCCACAGCUACAGAUGCAAAAAUCUGAAGCGACCACUCCAUUUUUUCCCUUAGUCUAUGCAUGCACUGCGUGAACCACAAAGAAAACCUGGAAUUGUCACUAGCAUAUCAUCUGACAAUUUUUUACAACCAACCGGCCAUACACAUAGUGAGGGAAAUAGUGAAUUAGAAUUUCUAAAGUAUCAUGCCAAUUGCAAAUUUGCAUUGGCCUCCAUCCGUCCAUCGUUGCAAAAAGAGUGAAUGAGAAAUACGCUGCUCAAGUCUUGACUGUUUCCCCUUCGAAGGAAUCCGAAUUUUUGUAAUCUCGAAAGACCACUAAAUCCAAUGAUGCGCUACUAGCC
This 720-nucleotide long non-coding RNA is filed under the name Sorghum bicolor (sorghum). RNAcentral describes it as "long non-coding RNA (SBIC_LNC002026)". The record is from RNAcentral. Lineage: Eukaryota; Viridiplantae; Streptophyta; Magnoliopsida; Poales; Poaceae.